Molecule: ribosomal RNA, 442 nt
Filed under: uncultured bacterium
Lineage: Bacteria
Description: partial 16S ribosomal RNA
Rfam family: Bacterial small subunit ribosomal RNA
Source: RNAcentral
CCUACGGGCGGCAGCAGUGGGGAAUAUUGGACAAUGGGCGCAAGCCUGACCCAGCAACGCCGCGUGAGGGAAGAAGGCUUUCGGGUUGUAAACCUCUUUUAUCGGGGGAGAGCAGAAGACGGUACCCCUUGAAUAAGCCACGGCUAACUACGUGCCAGCAGCCGCGGUAAUACGUAGGUGGCAAGCGUUGUCCGGAUUUACUGGGUGUAAAGGGCGUGCAGCCGGAGAGGCAAGUCAGAUGUGAAAUCCACGGGCCCAACCCGUGAACUGCAUUUGAAACUGUUUCCCUUGAGUGUCGGAGAGGUAAGCGGAAUUCCUAGUGUAGCGGUGAAAUGCGUAGAUAUAAGGAAGAACACCAGUGGCGAAGGCGGAUUACUGGACGAUAACUGACGGUGAGGCGCGAAAGCGUGGGGAGCAAACAGGAUUAGAUACCCCAGUAGUC